RNAcentral lists this ribosomal RNA (461 nucleotides) under uncultured bacterium. Its description in RNAcentral is "bacterial SSU rRNA". It matches the Rfam family "Bacterial small subunit ribosomal RNA", at positions 1 to 463 of the family's 1533-position model. The record is from RNAcentral.
GCCAGACUUUGAUCCUGGCUCAGGACGAACGCUGGCGGCGGGCUUAACACAUGCAAGUCGUACGAGAAAGCCCCUUCGGGGGUGAGUAAAGUGGCGAACGGGUGAGUAACACGUAGGCAACCUACCCUGAAGAGGGGGAUAACAUCGAGAAAUCGGUGCUAAUACCACAUGGUGUUCUGAUUGGGCAUCCGAUCAGAACUAAACCCUUCAUUGGGCUUCAGGAUGGGCCUGCGGCGGAUUAGCUUGUUGGUGAGGUAAAAGCUCACCAAGGCGACGAUCCGUAGCUGGUCUGAGAGGACGAUCAGCCACACUGGGCAUGAGACACGGGCCAGACUUCUACGGGAGGCAGCAGUGGGGAAUCUUAGACAAUGGGCGAAAGCCUGACGCACCACGCCGCGUGGAGGAAGACACCCCUAUGGGGCGUAAACUUCUUUUGCGUGAGAAGAAGGCUCUGCAUUGCA